UACAGAGGGGGCAAGCGUUGUUCGGAAUUACUGGGCGUAAAGGGCGCGUAGGCGGCCCUGUUAAGUCGAACGUGAAAUCCCCCGGGCUCAACCCGGGAACUGCGUCCGAUACUGGCAGGCUUGAAUCCGGGAGAGGGAUGCGGAAUUCCAGGUGUAGCGGUGAAAUGCGUAGAUAUCUGGAGGAACACCGGUGGCGAAGGCGGCGAUCCUGGACCGGCAUUGACGGCUG
This 229-nucleotide ribosomal RNA is filed under the name uncultured bacterium. Its description in RNAcentral is "partial 16S ribosomal RNA". It matches the Rfam family "Bacterial small subunit ribosomal RNA", at positions 524 to 748 of the family's 1533-position model. The record is from RNAcentral.